GCAGGCACUGAAAUCGAUGUGGUCUAUCUAGAUCCCAUGUAUCCACACCGUGAGAAAUCUGCCUUAGUGAAAAAAGA
Molecule: transfer RNA, 77 nt
Filed under: Shewanella piezotolerans WP3
Lineage: Bacteria; Pseudomonadati; Pseudomonadota; Gammaproteobacteria; Alteromonadales; Shewanellaceae
Description: tRNA-Met
Source: RNAcentral